RNAcentral lists this ribosomal RNA (521 nucleotides) under uncultured bacterium. Its description in RNAcentral is "bacterial SSU rRNA". It matches the Rfam family "Bacterial small subunit ribosomal RNA", at positions 9 to 527 of the family's 1533-position model. The record is from RNAcentral.
GAGUUUGAUCCUGGCUCAGAUUGAACGCUGGCGGCAUGCCUUACACAUGCAAGUCGAACGGUAACGGGCCUUCGGGUGCCGACGAGUGGCGAACGGGUGAGUAAUGUAUCGGAACGUACCAUUCAGUGGGGGAUAACGUAGCGAAAGUUACGCUAAUACCGCAUAUUCUGUGAGCAGGAAAGCAGGGGAUCGCAAGACCUUGCGCUGAUUGAGCGGCCGAUAUCAGAUUAGCUAGUUGGUGAGGUAAAAGCUCACCAAGGUGACGAUCUGUAGCGGGUCUGAGAGGAUGAUCCGCCACACUGGAACUGAGACACGGUCCAGACUCCUACGGGAGGCAGCAGUGGGGAAUUUUGGACAAUGGGGGCAACCCUGAUCCAGCCAUGCCGCGUGAGUGAAGAAGGCCUUCGGGUUGUAAAGCUCUUUCAGCCGGGAAGAAAACGCAUGGGUUAAUACCCUGUGUGGAUGACGGUACCGGAAUAAGAAGCACCGGCUAACUACGUGCCAGCAGCCGCGGUAAUUCC